AGGGUCUAAGCACCGAAUAUUGUUCAAAACAUUCACUCAUUGGCUUCUAAUGGCUGAACAUAGAAUAUUGCUCAAAGAGGAAAACCGAGAAGAGAUGGAGAAGAGAGGCUUUGAACGGUAAGGGUUUCAAAUGGUGCUCUCUCUUUCUUCACCCCACUCUCAUACUCUCUCUCAUAUGCCCCACCAUACCACCAAUUUCUAGGGUUUAUACAUCUCUUUUUAGCAAAUCGACCCAAUUGAGAGUUCUGAGAAGCCAUGGACGAAGAGGCACCACUCGUUGCUGAACACUCGAAUUUUGAAACCCUAACCAAGAGCCUUCAUGUUGAUUUUCUAGGCUCAUGGUGUUGCUCAGAACUUGGAGAAUACUAUCAAAACUACAACGUGUUUGAUAAAUGCCCCAAGUGAGAAUCAAAGGCAUAAUCCCAAUGGGAGGUUUGUUGUUGUUUGUGGAGAUGGUGAAUACAUCAUAUAUACAGCUUUGGCAUGGAGAAUAUGUUGUCAGAGAAAGUACAUCAAAGAUAAAAAUCUUUAGCAAAAAUUUUCAGGUUCGUGUUCUCAAUUGGUCUGUUCACAUAGUUUCAAAUUUAUGGCUUCAUCUUUAAAAAAUGCAAAAAACAACCAAUCUCAUAGUAUCCUCCCAAUUUAGUGGCAGGGAAGCUGGAAAAGGUAUUUUAUUGAAUAAUGAAAAAGCUUGAUGCCCACUUGUCAUGUUCUUUUAGUCAAUGGGUUUGUUGUUUCAACAUCACUUAUAUUUCGUUUGAACAUAUGCCUUCCUCCUAGUACUUUGUUAUUCUUGGAAAAAUACCAUGUAUACCGGGACCUUUGCACUGUGGAUUUUUAACUGUUAGCUUAAUUUUAAUUAUUAUUGUUUUUUUUUUAUCUCUAUUCAUCACAUGGAAUAGUUAGGCAUUAAUUUUAGGUGACCAAGCUGCUAGGAACACUUGAACCCAAGUUUUUGGUAUGGCAUGUAAGACAUUGUGCACAUGUAAAAUAACUGUUUGUUCAAAUAAUGGCAAAGGUUACAUUUGCACCUAUUCUAAGCCUCUCCGCGAAAUUUUUUUGGACCAUAUAAAGUUCAACACUUCCUCCGUUUUAGAUAACUUACGAGAUUUUCCACUCCUGGGCUUGAAAAAAUAUUACAAUUGUUAACAUCUAGAGAUAUCAAUGUCCAAGUCCAUGUUGUAAAGGUAGUGGCUAAUCUUGCUGUUGAAGGUACAUAUCAUAUUACUGUUUUUGAGUUGUUUCUGUGUCUCCUAAAUUUUCUUGUUGCAUGCAUGUAUGUGUGAGUGAGUGACUUCAUGCUCACUAUGUAGUUCUGCACAAUUUACAAAUUGUUUUGUUACGAUUCAAAUGAAAUAUGAAAAAAAGCAUGUACACAACAUAUUUAACUAUAAAGUACAAAAAAUUAUACAAAUUCUGAACUGUUAAAAAGUUAUUUAAAAUUUCGUCUGAAAUGAAUUUUGAUUUUUAGUAACACAAACCAGUGCUCAUUCUUCUUUGAAAACUUCAAAAUCAGUAAAAUUCGGUUUUACUUCUUUACGGGGCUUUAUUUGUGAUAUUAUUGUGAUUUGAGCAGCUAACCAAUCAGAGCUUACUUACUACAAUCUGGAUUCUUCUGCUCUUAACUAAAACUAAGAUAUAUUCAAUGCCUUGAGAAAUGUGAAUAACAAAAACAAAGAUGAAUAUACACUUUACAAAACUCAGCAGCUAUUCAUUCUAGCCUCAUUCCUAUUUCAUAACGUUGGCGCCUUUAUCUUUCUUGUACACAAGAAAGAUUUUCUAUCCUUUCUCUGUUGCCAUGUGGUAUGAUGUAAAAUAUUAAGUAGUCAACACGUCAAAAUAUUGUUUGGGCAUAAGAUAAUCUAUACUUUUUUACUUGUCAUUAAGGCUCUGUUUGAAACACUUUGAUUCCCCAAUUAAAUUGAAAGGUUAUAUAAGAACUUGUUACUGCUAUACUCAUUUUCUUCUCAAGGUAAACAUUCGAUAUAUGAAAAUCUCAUUAUCUUCUUCCCCCCCC
This is a non-coding RNA of Camellia sinensis, 2017 nucleotides long. Lineage: Eukaryota; Viridiplantae; Streptophyta; Magnoliopsida; Ericales; Theaceae. The record is from RefSeq and is a predicted model, not a curated record.